GCCUGUGUGGUGUAGUGGUUAGAGCGUUUGACUAGAACCUGGGAGACCAGGGUUCAAAUCCCCACUCAGCCA
This is a non-coding RNA of Podarcis lilfordi (Lilford's wall lizard), 72 nucleotides long. NCBI's taxonomy places the organism in Eukaryota, Metazoa, Chordata, Lepidosauria, Squamata, Lacertidae. The record is from the annotation of a GenBank genome assembly.